GGGAUGACACUUCAGGCGUCGCCUCCCCCCAUCGCGGGGCAGGGCGGCGGGACGAAGCGCUUUUCCCCCCGCUUCCCGGCCAAGCAAACCCGGGCACGACACCUGCCCCGGGGGCGGGGGAUUUAAGGCUCGCCCUCGCCCCCCGACCCGCUCCCUGAGGCUCCGGCGGGGCUCCUCCCGUCGGGCCGGGAGUCCCCCGGUGUCCCACCCCCGCUGGCCCGGGGGAAGGCAGGGCGCAGCCCAGCAGCGGAAAGCAGAGCCCGGGGUGCCCGGAGCCUGGGCGGCCCCAGCCCGGCCAGCACCCCCGCGGGGCAGGGAAGCGAGACCGGCUUUCUCCCGGUGCUUUACCUCUGUACACCGGGGAACUGGGGCUCCGUCUCUCAGGCACAACAAACAGGACUCAAUUUUAUUUGGAACUUAUCAUCACUGUUCCUUUACCAGCCAAAUGGGAUGCUGUUGAGUGACAUGGUGGACUCCACUGUUUUCUAGAAGAAAGCUUGAAAUACAUAUAUGAAAGAACUUGUGAGAGACAAAAGAUGUAAGGGCAACUGAAAAUGGCAUUAUCAGCCUGGAACAACAAACUGCACAGUAAGAGAAGAGAUAAGAUUACAGGCAUGCUGCUGGAGCUGUCUCUGGCAGCAGCUGGCUCCCUGCAUAGACAGCCAAAGGAAGAGAGGACAAGCCAGAGGGUUAUUCUCAUCUUAAUUGUGCACAAAGAGCUCCUCUUUCCCGUCCCUCCUCCCAGCAGAUGGAAACUAGGAUGACUGGGAUUGUAAUUAGGCACAUCAGCAUGGAGGAAGCAGAGAAGAGAGAAGAUUUGUGUCUGAGAAAUUCAUGCUCAGGCUUUGUGGCCUGGCCUGGGCCAGCACACCACCAGGCACUUUGGAAAGGCACCUGUAAGGUCAGGCUGGACAGAUCUGGGACAAAAGGAUCAGGGAGGAAAUCCUCAGGUGCUCCAGGGUGAAGCCCUCUCCUCUGUGACCACACAAGUGUGCAUUUGCUGACUGUCAUAUCAGGGUUUGGAUCACACUGCACAGAAACAGCAGAAACCAGAUCUGUAACCACCACCUUGACUGACCUGCUGGACACAACAUUGUCUGGUUCCAUCUCUGACUCUGUCAGCAGGGAGUUGUCUGUAAGGCCCAUCUCCCAGUCAGCCUUCUGACAGGCUGCUUUGGAUGCAGUUGUUCUUUGAUUUAUCUUUGAACACGUGCCAUAAAGCAUCAAUCCAAUUUUAGGGACAUCCUCAAGCAAGGGAGAGGUUUGAGGCCCAGCCUCUGCUAAAGGGAGAGCAGUCAGGAGACACAUUCCCAGUACCCUUGCUCAUUCAUGGUGCUUUGUUGGGUGUAAAUUUUACCCUUUACAAGAGACAAUUAAGGAUGAAGACCAAAUGUCUAUACCUACUGUCCACAUUUCUCAUCAUGGUGAAUACAAUCUCCUCCCUACUCUCCUUUGCUGCUCCUUUCCUUUAGAAAGGACACCUGUGAGUGCAACAGAGCUCAAAUCUGACAAGAUGUAAUUAUUUUAGAUAAAUUGUCUAACUUUAGGCAAAAAAUUAUUGCAAAAAUUACAUACCAAGUCAGCUAGCAAAUAAAGAACCAGUAUUGUGAGUUUGUUUGGUCUUCAACAGUGCAUUACAGCUCUGCUUCUAGACCAGCUCAGCUGCAGAAACAUUUCAGAUUCAAAAUGGACAGCUUGAAUGGAAACAUGCUAUUUGUAGAAUGAUCCAUUUUUUAGCUACUGGAUAUAAAAUAAUAAUUAAAAUUAUUUUAGUGCUUUGAGUAUGUAUUAACUAAAAAACUCAGAAAACAAAACAGUUCUGAACAACUUCAUAAAAUUAAUUCCUUCUUCAAUGUGGCCUGAGUAUCUGAGUACUUCCCAGCUCCCAGCCACAGUAUUCUCCAAGCAGUGUCAUGGAUGCCACCUAAACCAUUCCAAGUCAGCAACACAGCACACAGAAUCCAUCAGAUGAGAGU
Molecule: long non-coding RNA, 1976 nt
Organism: Zonotrichia leucophrys gambelii
Lineage: Eukaryota; Metazoa; Chordata; Aves; Passeriformes; Passerellidae
Exons: 5
Source: RefSeq, a predicted model, not a curated record